This 402-nucleotide ribosomal RNA is filed under the name Phaeophyceae sp. RNAcentral describes it as "partial small subunit ribosomal RNA". It matches the Rfam family "Eukaryotic small subunit ribosomal RNA", at positions 582 to 975 of the family's 1831-position model. Lineage: Eukaryota; Phaeophyceae. The record is from RNAcentral.
AUUCCAGCUCCAAUAGCGUAUAUUAAAGUUGCUGCAGUUAAAAAGCUCGUAGUUGGAUUUGUGGCGUGGUCGUCCGGCGGGGCUCCUUCAUUGGGGCCGUUUGUCUGGUUUUUCGACCGCACCAUUCUCGGGUAGUGUGUCGCUGGCAUUAGGUUGUCGGCUUCUUCACGCCCGUCGUUUACUGUGAAAAAAUUAGAGUGUUCAAAGCAGGCUUAGGCCGUUGGAUACAUUAGCAUGGAAUAAUGAGAUAGGGCCACGACGGUCUAUUUUGUUGGUUUGCACGUUGUGGUAAUGAUUAACAGGAACGGUUGGGGGUAUUCGUAUUCAAUUGUCAGAGGUGAAAUUCUUGGAUUUAUGGAAGACGAACUACUGCGAAAGCAUUUACCAAGGAUGUUUUCAUCA